RNAcentral lists this transfer RNA (72 nucleotides) under Leucobacter aridicollis. RNAcentral's name for it is "tRNA-OTHER". The record is from RNAcentral. Lineage: Bacteria; Bacillati; Actinomycetota; Actinomycetes; Micrococcales; Microbacteriaceae.
GACGCUCUAGCCCAAGUGGUAGAGGCCGCCUGACAAGGGAAUCCAGUCCAGGUUCGAACCCUGGGAGCGUCA